Molecule: ribosomal RNA, 980 nt
Filed under: Pandoraea sp. HYO6
Lineage: Bacteria; Pseudomonadati; Pseudomonadota; Betaproteobacteria; Burkholderiales; Burkholderiaceae
Description: bacterial SSU rRNA
Rfam family: Bacterial small subunit ribosomal RNA
Source: RNAcentral
GUAGGGUGCAAGCGUUAAUCGGAAUUACUGGGCGUAAAGCGUGCGCAGGCGGUUUUGUAAGACGGAUGUGAAAUCCCCGGGCUUAACCUGGGAACUGCAUUCGUGACUGCAAGGCUAGAGUAUGGCAGAGGGGGGUAGAAUUCCACGUGUAGCAGUGAAAUGCGUAGAGAUGUGGAGGAAUACCGAUGGCGAAGGCAGCCCCCUGGGCCAAUACUGACGCUCAUGCACGAAAGCGUGGGGAGCAAACAGGAUUAGAUACCCUGGUAGUCCACGCCCUAAACGAUGUCAACUAGUUGUUGGGGAUUCAUUUCCUUAGUAACGAAGCUAACGCGUGAAGUUGACCGCCUGGGGAGUACGGUCGCAAGAUUAAAACUCAAAGGAAUUGACGGGGACCCGCACAAGCGGUGGAUGAUGUGGAUUAAUUCGAUGCAACGCGAAAAACCUUACCUACCCUUGACAUGUACGGAAUCUUGCUGAAAGGUGAGAGUGCUCGAAAGAGAGCCGUAACACAGGUGCUGCAUGGCUGUCGUCAGCUCGUGUCGUGAGAUGUUGGGUUAAGUCCCGCAACGAGCGCAACCCUUGUCCUUAGUUGCUACGCAAGAGCACUCUAAGGAGACUGCCGGUGACAAACCGGAGGAAGGUGGGGAUGACGUCAAGUCCUCAUGGCCCUUAUGGGUAGGGCUUCACACGUCAUACAAUGGUCGGUACAGAGGGCUGCCAAAUCGCGAGAUGGAGCUAACCCCAGAAAACCGAUCGUAGUCCGGAUCGCAGUCUGCAACUCGACUGCGUGAAGUUGGAAUCGCUAGUAAUCGCGGAUCAGCAUGUCGCGGUGAAUACGUUCCCGGGUCUUGUACACACCGCCCGUCACACCAUGGGAGUGGGUUUUGCCAGAAGUAGGUAGCCUAACCGUAAGGAGGGCGCUUACCACGGCAGGAUUCAUGACUGGGGUGAAGUCGUAACAAGGUAGCCGUAGGGGAACC